RNAcentral lists this ribosomal RNA (950 nucleotides) under Arthrobacter sp. RNAcentral describes it as "bacterial SSU rRNA". It matches the Rfam family "Bacterial small subunit ribosomal RNA", at positions 528 to 1471 of the family's 1533-position model. The record is from RNAcentral. Lineage: Bacteria; Bacillati; Actinomycetota; Actinomycetes; Micrococcales; Micrococcaceae.
GUAGGCGCAAGCGUUAUCCGGAAUUAUUGGGCGUAAAGAGCUCGUAGGCGGUUUGUCGCGUCUGCCGUGAAAGUCCGAGGCUCAACUUCGGAUCUGCGGUGGGUACGGGCAGACUAGAGUGAUGUAGGGGAGACUGGAAUUCCUGGUGUAGCGGUGAAAUGCGCAGAUAUCAGGAGGAACACCGAUGGCGAAGGCAGGUCUCUGGGCAUCUACUGACGCUGAGGAGCGAAAGCAUGGGGAGCGAACAGGAUUAGAUACCCUGGUAGUCCAUGCCGUAAACGUUGGGCACUAGGUGUGGGGGACAUUCCACGUUUUCCGCGCCGUAGCUAACGCAUUAAGUGCCCCGCCUGGGGAGUACGGCCGCAAGGCUAAAACUCAAAGGAAUUGACGGGGGCCCGCACAAGCGGCGGAGCAUGCGGAUUAAUUCGAUGCAACGCGAAGAACCUUACCAAGGCUUGACAUGUGCUAGAUCGCCAUAGAAAUAUGGUUUCCCCUUUGGGGCUGGUUCACAGGUGGUGCAUGGUUGUCGUCAGCUCGUGUCGUGAGAUGUUGGGUUAAGUCCCGCAACGAGCGCAACCCUCGUUCUAUGUUGCCAGCACGUUAUGGUGGGGACUCAUAGGAGACUGCCGGGGUCAACUCGGAGGAAGGUGGGGACGACGUCAAAUCAUCAUGCCCCUUAUGUCUUGGGCUUCACGCAUGCUACAAUGGCCGGUACAAUGGGUUGCGAUACUGUGAGGUGGAGCUAAUCCCAAAAAGCCGGUCUCAGUUCGGAUUGGGGUCUGCAACUCGACCCCAUGAAGUCGGAGUCGCUAGUAAUCGCAGAUCAGCAACGCUGCGGUGAAUACGUUCCCGGGCCUUGUACACACCGCCCGUCAAGUCACGAAAGUUGGUAACACCCGAAGCCGGUGGCCUAACCCCUUGUGGGAGGGAGCCGUCGAAGGGGAUCCCCC